Molecule: ribosomal RNA, 520 nt
Filed under: uncultured bacterium
Lineage: Bacteria
Description: bacterial SSU rRNA
Rfam family: Bacterial small subunit ribosomal RNA
Source: RNAcentral
UGAGGAAUAUUGGUCAAUGGCCGAGAGGCUGAACCAGCCAAAUCGCGUGAAGGAAGACGGUAUUAUGUAUUGUAAACUUCUUUUGUAAGGGAAUAAAGUGUAGGACGCGUUCCUGUUUUGUAUGUACCUUACGAAUAAGCAUCGGCUAACUCCGUGCCAGCAGCCGCGGUAAUACGGAGGAUGCGAGCGUUAUCCGGAUUUAUUGGGUUUAAAGGGUGCGUAGGUUGGGGGAUAAGUCAGCGGUGAAAAUUUUCUGCUUAACAGGGACACUGCCGUUGAAACUGUUUCUCUUGAGUAUAAACGAGGCAGGCGGAAUUCGUAGUGUAGCGGUGAAAUGCAUAGAUAUUACGAAGAACCCCGAUAGCGCAGGCAGCUUGCCAGGCUAUAACUGACACUGAAGCACGAAAGUGUGGGAAUCAAACAGGAUUAGAUACCCUGGUAGUCCACACAGUAAACGAUGAUUACUCGCUGUUUGCGAUAUAAAGUAAGCGGCCCAGCGAAAGCGAUAAGUAAUCCACCU